RNAcentral lists this ribosomal RNA (615 nucleotides) under uncultured soil bacterium. RNAcentral describes it as "bacterial SSU rRNA". It matches the Rfam family "Bacterial small subunit ribosomal RNA", at positions 35 to 643 of the family's 1533-position model. The record is from RNAcentral.
GCUGGCGGCGUGCUUAACACAUGCAAGUCGAGUGCGCAGCUUUCUGUAGCAAUACAGGAAGUCGGCGCACGGCGCACGGGUGCGUAACACGUGGGCAAUCUGCCCUCGGAUGGGGGAUACCCCCGCGAAAGCGGGACUAAUACCGCAUGACAUUCCGAAGACCUCGGUCUUUGGACUCAAAGCCCGCAAGGGCGUCUGAGGAGGAGCCCGCGCCCGAUUAGCUAGUUGGUGAGGUAACGGCUCACCAAGGCUUUGAUCGGUAGCCGGUCUGAGAGGAUGGCCGGCCACACUGGAACUGAGACACGGUCCAGACUCCUACGGGAGGCAGCAGUGGGGAAUAUUGCGCAAUGGGCGAAAGCCUGACGCAGCGACGCCGCGUGGGGGAUGAAGCUUCUCGGAGUGUAAACCCCUUUCGACCCGGACGAAUGACCCGCAAGGGUUUGACGGUACGGGUAUAAGAAGCCCCGGCUAACUACGUGCCAGCAGCCGCGGUAAUACGUAGGGGGCCAGCGUUGCUCGGAAUUACUGGGCGUAAAGGGUUCGUAGGCGGUGCGGCAAGUUGGGAGUGAAAUCUCUGGGCUUAACCCAGAGGCUGCUUUCAAAACUGCCGUGCUC